Long non-coding RNA from Callithrix jacchus (white-tufted-ear marmoset), 935 nucleotides. RefSeq lists it as uncharacterized. The record is from RefSeq and is a predicted model, not a curated record. Lineage: Eukaryota; Metazoa; Chordata; Mammalia; Primates; Cebidae.
AGACUGCAUGUGAAAUACAUAGUGUCUGCCUGGGACUUGGUAACCUCCCAAUAAACACCGUGAUGAUGAUGAUGAUGAUGAUGAUGAUGAAGCUGUUACAAUGACAAUUUUUCAUAGAAGAAACAACUGUACUCAGUAUGCCUUUUAGGAAGAAAAUGAGACUCAGCAAACAUUAACACUGAGUGUGAAAGGGGUUUCAGAUUUCAGAGAGACUUGAGAGGGGAGGGAGUGGCUAUGGGCUGAAAACAGCAGGGCCUGCUCAUCACUUUAUUUCCCUUGAGUGAUAGACCGGACGCAACCAGAGCGUGUGACCUCAAAGGUCGGCCUGGAGACAACAGCAUUGUUCAAAGAGAAUGUGAAAAAUAAUUUAGCUCAAGAAGAGAAUCAGAAAGGCACACAGGGGGCUGUUGCAUUUGGGUAUGAUCUGGGGGUGUAAUCAGAGCAAGCAGAAGCUCCGUUCCCUUUCCGACGCUGGAGAAAGCAUGAGUUCCCAGGGAUUUGAAGUCCUAGAAAGAAGUUGAGCUCUGCCACUCUGGCUUGUCGUUGAAUGUCACCCAGACAGAGCUAGAUGAUGACAUUUUAACAGACUUGACAACUGUGGAUUUGACUUAAAGGGGCGCUCAUCCCCCAGACUAUGGACCAGUACCAGCCCCUGGCCUGUUGGGAACUGGACCACACAGCAGGAGGUGAACGGUGGGUGAGUGAGAGAAACUGCAUGUGUAUUUACAGCCGCUCCCCAUCACUGCCAUCACCGCCUGAACUCUGCCUCUUGUCAGAUCAGCAGUCGCAUUAGAUUCUCACGGAGGAGCAGACCCUAUUGUGAACCAUGCACGUGGGGGAUCUGGGUUGCAGUCUUUUUUUGAGAAUCUAAUGCCUGAUGAUCUGUCACUGUCACCUGUCACUCCCAGAUGGGACUAUACCUGCAGGAAAAUAAA